GGAGAAGCCAUGGCUCAGUGGAGGAGCCUCUCCUUUGCAUGCAAAAGGUCCCAGAUUCAAUUCCUGGAAUCUCCA
RNAcentral lists this transfer RNA (75 nucleotides) under Sphaerodactylus townsendi. RNAcentral describes it as "tRNA-Ala". The record is from RNAcentral. Lineage: Eukaryota; Metazoa; Chordata; Lepidosauria; Squamata; Sphaerodactylidae.